Molecule: non-coding RNA, 563 nt
Organism: Myotis davidii
Lineage: Eukaryota; Metazoa; Chordata; Mammalia; Chiroptera; Vespertilionidae
Source: the annotation of a RefSeq genome assembly
GGUGCCUGUGGAGCCUACAAGGACAGUGACAUCACAGGCAAGCCCUCCACUCAGAGCAAAGGGAGGGGUAAAGCCUCUGCUCUCUCACCCUAAGCACCAGAGCCCAGAGCUGGGAGAUGGCCAGUCUUGCCCUGUCCAAAUCUUCCAGGGACCCUCAGCUCCUCUGCUGGUUGGCCCUCUGUCUCCUGGGGGCAGGUUCAGUGGCUGCUGGAGUUACCCAGUCCCCAAGACAUGUAAUCAAAGGCCAAGGGGGGAUGGCCAUUCUGAAGUGUAACCCCAUCUCCGGACACAGAAGUGUGUACUGGUACCAGCAGGCUCUGGGACACGGCCCUCAGUUCCUCAUUGAAUAUUUUGAAAAGGAGGAGAGAGAAAAAGGGAGGGAGAGAGAAAAAGGGAGCAUCCCUGAUCGGUUCUCAGGAAAUCAGUCCAGUGACUAUAGCUCUGAACUGGCCAUGAGCGCCUUGCAGCUGGGAGACUCGGCUGUGUAUCUCUGUGCCAGCAGCUUAGACACAGCCCUGCAGGGUCAAUGGCUUUCUGUGCUCAAACCUCCCUGCCCCAGCUGA